Molecule: ribosomal RNA, 549 nt
Filed under: uncultured Glomeromycotina
Lineage: Eukaryota; Fungi; Glomeromycota
Description: SSU rRNA
Rfam family: Eukaryotic small subunit ribosomal RNA
Source: RNAcentral
UUGGAGGGCAAGUCUGGUGCCAGCAGCCGCGGUAAUUCCAGCUCCAAUAGCGUAUAUUAAAGUUGUUGCAGUUAAAAAGCUCGUAGUUGAACUUCGGGGUCUACCCAUUGGUCAGGCUUAAUUGUCUGCACUGGUGAGAUGGAUCUCUACCUUCUGAGGAACUUUCAUGCCAUUUAUUUGGUGUGAUAGGAAAUCAGGACUGUUACUUUGAAAAAAUUAGAGUGUUUAAAGCAGACUAUCGUCUGAAUACAUUAGCAUGGAAUAAUGAAAUAGGACGGACUGAUUCUAUUUCGUUGGUUUCUAGGAUCACCGUAAUGAUUAAUAGGGAUAGUUGGGGGCACUAGUAUUCAAUUGUCAGAGGUGAAAUUCUUGGAUUUAUUGAAGACUAACUACUGCGAAAGCAUUUGCCAAGGAUGUUUUCAUUAAUCAAGAACGAAAGUUAGGGGAUCGAAGGCGAUCAGAUACCGUCGUAGUCUUAACCAUAAACUAUGCCGACUAGGGAUCGGACGAAGUUAUUAAAAAUGACGCGUUCGGCGCCUUACGGGAAAC